Molecule: non-coding RNA, 1480 nt
Organism: Caretta caretta (loggerhead turtle)
Lineage: Eukaryota; Metazoa; Chordata; Testudines; Cheloniidae
Source: RefSeq, a predicted model, not a curated record
UACUUAACUCUGAGUUAGGAUUUCAUGUUUGAGAAACAAGAGGAGCGGAGUAUUUGGCAUCUGAGAGUUAAAUGCAAACUAUAGGUAGCAGAUACCUAGAAUGGGUGAUUAAAAUGGGUAUCUCAUGAUUUAAAGGCAACUCCCCUUUGAAAAAGCUCAGUUUUACUCUAACUGUUGCCUUGAAUAUGCAUCCAAUUCACUGAGACUGUUGAUUUUUUUGAGGCGGCUUUGAAGCAGAGAAGGCACUUCGGAGAGAAAGAGAGAGACUUCUGUGCAUGAGUUGUGGCUCCUCUACCUGACUGCAGGCUUGUUUGCCAUCAACUGGUGUCUGGCACCCAUAGAGCAAUGCAGUCAGCAGCAGUUGCAGGGAAUCUGCUGCCAGAUGCCCCUUAGUACAGAAAUGGGAUCCAGACUCUGGUGUGACUGGUGAGCUAUUGAAGGGAGGAUGAUCGUUGAGAAUGGUUCAGGCCAGGUAGUUGCUGGCAGAGCACCCCUACAGAAGAACCUCAGAGUUAGGUUUGUUCAUCGUAACUGUGAAAUGUAUGUAACUUUGAACAAAACGUGAUGGUUAUUCUUUCAAAAGUUUUCAACUGAACAUUGACUUAAUACAGCUUUGAAACUUUACUAUGCAGAAGAAAAAUGCCGCUUUUAACCACCUUAAUUUAAAUGAAGCAAGCACCGAAACAAGCACAGAAACAGUUUCCUUACCUUGUCAAAUCUUUUUUUUAAUUUUUCCCUCAUUGUUUUUAGUAGUUUACGUUUAACAUAGUACAGUGCAACGUUUCCUCUUUUUUUUGGUCUCUGUUGCUGCCUGAUGGUGUACUUGCGGUUCCAAAUGAUGUCUGUGAUUGACUGGUCAGUUUGUAACUCUGGUGAUUGUAACUUCGAGGUUCUACUCUAUCUUAUGGUGGAGGUGGAGAGGACAAAGGAUUGGAGGGAAGGCUCCUAAAAAAGCAUUCUGAUUAAGAGGAAAAGUUGCUGAGCAGAGAAGUUUCUGAGUGGAAAGCAGAAGCUCAGCAGGUCCUAGGUAGGGAAAUAAAACAGCAGGGCUGGAAGUGCACAAGGCAGCCGAUGAAGCAGUUGUUAGAAGGCUGGGAAGGAAAGGAACAGAACUAGUGUUUUUCCAGUAAAUUGUUUCAAGCUCGGCUCCCUCCUUCUCCUUCCUUCUGCCCCUUUGGAUACAAGGAGCCUCCCACAGAACCUCCCAGUUGAGUAGUUUUUGCCGAAGUCUGGAUCCUCUUCCUGAAGGAGAAGGUGGUAGGCAGCAAAUCCCCUCCAUCUGUUGCUUAUCACCCUAUUCAGAACUACCAGAUCCCACUUCCCAACACACAAUACCAGUUCCUUGGAUGUCAUAGGAUUGCAACCAAGAAGUGGAGCCACCUAAGGGAGAGAAAAAAGUCUUGCUCCAUCUUGUUACGAAUGGUGACCAAUCAGAUAGUUAGCCAAUUCAAACUUGGAGAGGCCAGUACUUCAGAGGGGU